GAUUACGCGUUAACGAUGGAAACGGCAUCCUUUUUGGCUUUCAUCCUGUCUAAAGGACUCCUGUGGAGAGCGCAGCCGAAAGAAAGCCAAAAAGAUACAGUGUACAGCGUGUUAAAAC
RNAcentral lists this small RNA (118 nucleotides) under Pedobacter sp. SG908. RNAcentral describes it as "Flavo-1 RNA". It matches the Rfam family "Flavo-1 RNA". RNAcentral also lists the same sequence under 1 other name. The record is from RNAcentral. Lineage: Bacteria; Pseudomonadati; Bacteroidota; Sphingobacteriia; Sphingobacteriales; Sphingobacteriaceae.